This 252-nucleotide ribosomal RNA is filed under the name uncultured bacterium. RNAcentral describes it as "partial 16S ribosomal RNA". It matches the Rfam family "Bacterial small subunit ribosomal RNA", at positions 524 to 776 of the family's 1533-position model. The record is from RNAcentral.
UACGUAGGGGGCGAGCGUUAUCCGGCAUCACUGGGCGUAAAGGGUGCGUAGGCGGCCGAUAAAGUCAGGGGUGAAAGGCUACGGCUUAACCGUAGUAAGCCUUUGAAACUUAUUGGCUUGAGUGCAGGAAAGGAGAGUGGAAUUCCUAGUGUAGCGGUGAAAUGCGUAGAUAUUAGGAGGAACACCAGUGGCGAAGGCGACUCUCUGGACUGUAACUGACGCUGAGGCACGAAAGCGUGGGGAGCGAACAGG